UCCGUGUUAACCACGGCAGUCCCUCUAGAGUGCCCAACUUAAUGCUGGCAACUAAAGGCAAGGGUUGCGCUCGUUGCGGGACUUAACCCAACAUGUCACCACACGAGCUGACGACAGCCAUGCAGCACCUGUCUUCCGGCUGUAUUGCUACAGAAACCGUAUUUCUACGGCUGUCCGGAGAUGUCAAACCCAGGUAAGGUUAUUCGCGUUGCUUCGAAUUAAACCACAUGAUCCACCGCUUGUGCGGGCCCCCGUCAAUUCCUUUGAGUUUUAGUCUUGCGACCGUACUUCCCAGGCGGGGUACUUAUCGCGUUAGCUCCAGCUCUGCAGGGGUCAAUUCCCACAAAACUUAGUACCCAUCGUUUACAGCGUGGACUAC
Molecule: unclassified non-coding RNA, 379 nt
Filed under: uncultured Oligoflexales bacterium
Lineage: Bacteria; Pseudomonadati; Bdellovibrionota; Oligoflexia; Oligoflexales
Description: contains 16S-23S intergenic spacer region
Source: RNAcentral